This 78-nucleotide transfer RNA is filed under the name Escherichia coli. Its description in RNAcentral is "tRNA-Met". It matches the Rfam family "tRNA". Rfam says of the family: Transfer RNA (tRNA) molecules are approximately 80 nucleotides in length. Their secondary structure includes four short double-helical elements and three loops (D, anti-codon, and T loops). Further hydrogen bonds mediate the characteristic L-shaped molecular structure. tRNAs have two regions of fundamental functional importance: the anti-codon, which is responsible for specific mRNA codon recognition, and the 3' end, to which the tRNAs corresponding amino acid is attached (by aminoacyl-tRNA synthetases). tRNAs cope with the degeneracy of the genetic code in two manners: having more than one tRNA (with a specific anti-codon) for a particular amino acid; and 'wobble' base-pairing, i.e. permitting non-standard base-pairing at the 3rd anti-codon position. Lineage: Bacteria; Pseudomonadati; Pseudomonadota; Gammaproteobacteria; Enterobacterales; Enterobacteriaceae. The record is from RNAcentral.
GCGGGGUGGAGCAGCCUGGUAGCUCGUCGGGCUCAUAACCCGAAGGUCGUCGGUUCAAAUCCGGNCCCCCGNCAACCA